AAACAAAGAAGUAAUAUAUACAGUUAGUUUCGACCUAAUAUAAGAGAUUGAGUUCUCCAUGUUUA
This 65-nucleotide transfer RNA is filed under the name Olidiana ritcheriina. RNAcentral's name for it is "tRNA-Arg". The record is from RNAcentral. Lineage: Eukaryota; Metazoa; Arthropoda; Insecta; Hemiptera; Cicadellidae.